Non-coding RNA from Callithrix jacchus (white-tufted-ear marmoset), 10880 nucleotides. NCBI's taxonomy places the organism in Eukaryota, Metazoa, Chordata, Mammalia, Primates, Cebidae. The record is from RefSeq and is a predicted model, not a curated record.
UAGUUCUUUAAGGUUUAUUGUUAGAUUGCUUAUUUGAAGUUUUUUCUCUUUUUUGAUGUAGGCACUUAUCACUAUAAAUUUGCCUCUUAGUAUUGCUUUGCUAUAUCCCAGAGGCUUUGGUAUGUUGUGUUUCCUCAUUCAUUUCAAGAAAUUGAUCAAUUUCCUUCUUAAUUUCUUCAUUGACUCAGUAGUCAUUCAGGAGCAUAUUGUUUAAUUUUCAUGUAUUUGUAUAGUUUCUGAAAUUCUUCUUGGUAUUAACUUCUAGCUGUAUAUGAUGCUUGAUAUUUUUCAACUUUUUAACGUUUUAAGACUUGCGACCUAACAUACGAUCUAUCCUUGAGAAUGAUACACAUUGAAUAAAAUAUUCUGUAAGUAUGUAUCAGGUCUGUUUGAUCUAUAGUGUAGAUUAAGUCUGAUGUUUCUUUUUUGAUUUUCUGUCUGGAAGAUAUGUCCAAUGCUGAAAAUGUGGUGCCGAAGUCUCCAGCUAUUAUUGUAUUGGGGUCGCUCUCUCUCUUUAGCUCUAAUCAUAUUUGCUUUAUAUAUCUGGGUGCUCCAGUGUUGUGUGUAUAUAUAUAUUUAUAUUUGUUAUAUCCUCUUUCUGAACUGAACCCUGUAUUAGUCUAUUCUUGCACUACUAUAAAGAAAUACCUGAGACUGGGUAAUACAUAGAGAAAAGAAGUUUAAUUGGCUCACAGUUCUGCAGGCUGUACAGAAAGCAUGACUGAAGAGACCUUCAGAACACUUACACUUACAAUUAUGGCAGAAGGUGAAGGGGAGGUGGGCAUGUCUUAGAUGGCUGGAGCAGCAGGAAGGUGGGAGAAAGUGCCACACACUUUUAAACAAUCAGAUUUCACAAUAACUCACUGUCAUGAGAACAGCACCCAGGGGGAUGGUGUUAAACCAUGAGAAGCCACCCCAUGAUACAAUCAUCUUCUACCAGGCCCCACCUCCAACAUUUAGGAUUAUAAUUGAACAUGAGAUUUUGGUGGGGGAUGCAGAUUCAAACCCUAUUAUUCCACCCCUGGCCUCUCCAAAUCUUAUGUCUUUCUGAUACUGCAAAAUACAGUCAUGCCUUCCCAACAGUCUCUCAAAGUGUUAACUCAUUCCAGCAUUAAUUCCAAAGUCCAAAGUCUUACAUGAAACAAGGCAAGUCCCUCCCACCUGUGAACCUGUAAAAUUAAAAGUAGUUACUUUCAACACACAGUGGGGGUACAGGAAUUGGGUAAAUACUCCCAUUUGAAAAGUGAGAAAUUGGCCAAAGGAAAGAGGCUACAGGGCCCGUGCAAGUCUGAAACUCAGCAGGGUAGUCAUUAAAUCUUAAAGCUCCAAAAUAGUCUCCUUUGACUCCAUGUCUCACAUCCAGGGAACACUGGUGCAAGGCGUGGGCUCUUAAGGCCUUGGGCAGCCCCUGGAACUUUGCAGGGUACAGCCACUGUGGCUGCUUUCAUGAGCUGGCAUCAAGUGCCUUGGCUUUUCCAGAUGCACUGUGCAAGCUGUCAUUGGCAGAUCUGCCAUCCUGGGGUCUGGGGGGCAGUGGCCCUCUUCUCACAGUUCCACUAGUACCCCAGAGGGGAAUCUGUGUAGGAGCUCCAACCCCAAAUUUCCCCUCCACUCUGCCCUAGUAGAGGUUCUUCAUAGACAACCAGGCUUCCCAACAUAUACGCUGAAAACUAGGUGGGGUCUCCCAAACUUCAAUUCUUGCCCCCUGUGCAUCGACAGGCUUAAUUUAACACCACAUGGGAGCCACCAAGGCUUACAACUUGCACCCUUUGGAGCAGCAACCUGAGCUGUACAUGUGGCCUUUUGAGCUGAAACUGCAGCUGGGGCAGCUGGGAUUUGGAGAGAGGUUUCCUGAGGCUGUGCAAGGCAGCAGGAUCCUGAGCCUGGCCCAGGAAACCAUUCUUCCCUCAUAGCCCUUUGUGCCUGUGAAGGGAGAGGCUGCCACAAGGUAUCUGAAAUGCCUUCAAGGUGUUUAUCCAUUCUUAGCUAUCAUCAUUUGGUUCCUUGUUACUUGCAAUUUUCUGCAGCUAGCUUGAAUUCCUCUCCAGAAAACAGGGUUUUCUUUCACUCUGCUUCCCUUUUAUUUUUUGUUAUUGCAUCUUAGGUUUUGGGUUACAUGUGAAGAACAUGCAAGAUAGUUGCAUAGGUACACACGUGGCAGUGUGAUUUGCUGUCUUCCUCCCCUUCACCUAUAUCUGGCAUUUCUCCCCAUGCUAUCUCUCCCCAACUGCCCCCCCCCGGUGUCCCUCCCCUAUUCCCCCCAACAGACCCCACUGUGUCCAUGUGUUCUCAUUGUUCAACACCCACCUCUGAGUGAGAACAUGCGGUAUUUCAUUUUCUGUUCUUGUGUCAGUUUGCUGAGAAUGAUGUUCUCCAGGUUCAUCCAUGUCCCUAGAAAGGACACGAACUCAUCAUUUUUGAUGGCUGCAUAAUAUUCCAUGGUGUAUAUGUGCCACAUUUUCCCUGUCCAGUCUAUCAUCAAUGGGCAUUUGGGUUGGUUCCAGGUCUUUGUUAUAAAACAGGGCUGCAAUGAACAUUCCUGUGCAUGUGUCCUUAUAGUAGAAUGAUUUACGAUCCUUUGAAUAUAUACCGAGUAAUGGGAUUGUUGGGUCAAAUGGAAUUUCUAUAUCUAGGUCCUUGAGGAAUCGCCACACUGUCUUCCACAAUGGUUGAACUAAUUUACACUCCCACCAACAGUGUAAAAGUGUUCCUAUUUCUCCACAUCCUCUCCAGCAUUUGUUGUCUCCAGAUUUUUUAAUGAUCGCCAUUCUAAUUGGCGUGACUACUCAAUGUAGUUUUGGCAAAACUAUUCAAUGUAGUUUUGAUUUGCAUUUCUCUAAUGGCCAGUGAUGAUGAGCAUUUUUUCAUAUGUUUGUUGACCUCAUGUAUGUCUUCUUUUGUAAAGUAUCUGUUCAUAUCCUUUGCCCACUUUGGAAUGGGCUUGUUUGCUUUGUUCUUGCAAAUCUGUUUUAGUUCUUUGUAAAUUCUGGAUAUCAGCCCUUUGUCAGAUGGGUAAACUACAAAAAUUUUUCCCAUUCUGUUGGCUGCCAAUUCACUCUAAUGACUGUUUCUUUUGCCGUGCAGAAGAUGUGGAGUUUGAUUAGGUCCCAUUUGUCUAUGUUGGCUUUUGUUGCCAAUGCUUUUGGUGUUUUGGUCAUGAAGUCCUUGCCUACUCCUAUGUCCUGGAUGGUUUUGCCUAGAUUUCCUUCUAGGGUUUUUAUGGUGCCAGGUCUUAUGUUUAAGUCUUUAAUCCAUCUGGAGUUAAUUUUAGUGUAAGGUGUCAGGAAGGGGUCCAGUUUCUGCUUUCUGCACAUGGCUAGCCAGUUUUCCCAACACCAUUUAUUAAACAGGGACUCCUUUCCCCAUUGCUUGUUUUUGUCAGGUUUGUCAAGGAUCGGAUGGUUGUGGAUAUGUUGUGUUGCCUCUGAGGCCUCUGUUCUGUUCCAUUGGUCUAUAUCUCUGUUUUGGUACCAGUACCAUGCUGAUUUCAUUACUGUAGCCUUGUAUAGUUUGAAGUCCAGUAGUGUGACACCUCCCGCUGUGUUCUUUUUGCUUAGAUUGACUUGACUAUGUGGGCUCUCUUUUGGUUCCAUAUGAAGUUUCAGGUGGUUUUUUCCAGUUCUGUGAAGAAGGUCAUUGGUAGCUUGAUGGGGAUAGCAUUGAAUCUAUAAAUUACUUUGGGCAAUAUGGCCAUUUUCACAAUAUUAAUUAUUCCUAACCAUGAACAUGGAAUGAUUUUUCAUCUGUUAGUGUCCUCUCUUAUUUUGUUGAUCAGUGGUUUGUAGUUCUCCUUGAAGAGGUCCUUUACAUUCCUUGUUAGGUAUUUUAUUCUCUUUGUAGCAAUUGUGAGUGGCAGUUCAUUCUUGAUUUGGCUUUAAGUCUGUUAUUGGUGUAUAGGAAUGCUUGUGAUUUUUGCACAUUGAUUUUGUUUUAUGAGACUUUGCUGAAGAUGCUUAUCAGUUUCAGGAGAUUUUGGGCUGAGACGAUGGGGUCUUCUAGAUAUACAAUCAUAUUGUCUGCAAAUGGAGACAAUUUGGCUUCCUCCUUUCCUAUCUGAAUACCCUCUAUUUGUUUUUCUUGCCUGAUUGCUCUGGCAAGAACUUCCAGUUCUAUAUUGAAUAGGAGUGGUGAAAGAGGGCAUCCUUGUCUAGUGCCGGAUUUCAAAGGGAAUGCUUCCAGUUUUUGCCCAUUCUGUAUAAUACUGGCUGUUGGUUUGUUGUAAAUAGCUUUUAUUAUUUUGAGAUACGUUCCAUCAAUACCUAGUUUAUUGAGAGUUUUUAGCAUAAAGCACUGUUGAAUUUUGUCAAAGGCCUUCUCUGCAUCAAUUGAGAUAAUCAUGUGGUUUUUGUCUUUGGUUCUGUUUAUGUAGUGAAUUACGUUUAUAGAUUUGCAUAUGUUGAACCAGCCUUGCAUCCCUGGGAUGAAUGCUACUUGAUCAUGGUCAAUAAGUUUUUGAUGUGCUGUUGCAAUCAGCUUGCCAGUAUUUUAUUGAAGAUUUUUGCAUCUAUGUUCAUCAUGGAUAUUGGCCUGAAGUUUUCUUUUCUUGUUGAGUCUCUGCCAGGUUUUGGUAUCAGGAUGAUGUUGGUCUCAUAAAAUAAUUUGGGAAGGAUUCCCUCUUUUUGGAUUAUUUGGAAUAGUUUCAGAAGAAAUGGUACCAGCUCCUCUUUGUGUGUCUGGUAGAAUUCGGCUGUGAACCCUUCUGGACCUGGGCUUUUUUUGUGUGGUAGGCUCUUAAUUGUUGCCUCAACUUCAGAUCUUGUUAUUGGUCUAUUCAGGGUUUUGACUUCUUCCUGGUUUAGGCUUGGGAGGAGGCAAGUGUCCAGGAAUUUAUCCAUUUCUUCCAGGUUUGGUAGUUGAUGUGCAUAGAGUUGUUUGUAAUAUUCUCUGAUGAUGGUUUGAAUUUCUGUGGAAUCUGUGGUGAUUUCCCCUUUAUCGUUUUUUAUUGCAUCUAUUUGGUGAUUCUCUAUUUUCUUUUUUAUUAAUCUGGCUAGUGAUCUAUCUAUUUUGUUGAUCUUUUUGAAAAACCAGCUCCUGGAUUUAUUGACUGUUUUGAAGGGUUUUUCGUGUCUCUAUCUCCUUCAGUUCUUCUCUGGUCUUAGUUAUUUCUUGUCUUCUGUUAGGUUUUUAGUUUUUUUUAUCUUGCCCCGCUAGCUCUUUCAAUUUUGAUGAUAGAGUGUCAUUUUGGAUCUCUCCUUGCAUCUCAUGUGGGCACUUAUUGCUAUAUAUUUUCCUCUAGAGACUGCUUUAAAUGUGUCCCAGAGAUUCUGGUAUGUUGUGUCUUCAUUCUCGUUGGUUUCGAAUAACAUCUUUAUUUCUGCCUUCAUUUCAUUGUUUAUCCAGUGAACAUUCAAGAGCCAGUUGUUCAGUUUUCAUGAAGCUGUUUGGUUCUGAGUUAGUUUUUGAAUUCUGAGUUCUAACUUGAUUGCACUGUGGUCUGAGAGAUGGUUUGUUAUGAUUUCUAUUCUUUUGCAUUUACUGAGGAGUGAUUUACUUCCAAUUAUGUGGUCAAUUUUAGACUAGGUGUGAUGUGGUGCUGAGAAGAAUAUAUAUUCUGUGGAUUUGGCGUGGAGAGUUCUGUAAAUGUCUAUUAGGUUUGCUUGUUCCAGGUCUGAGUUCAAGUCCUGGAAAUCCUUGUUAAUUUUCUGUCUGGUUGAUCUAUCUAAUAUUGACAAUUGGGUGUUAAAGGCUCCCACUAUUAUUGUGUAGGAGUCUGAGUCUCUUUGCAAGUCAUUAAGAACUUGCCAUAGGUAACUAGGUGCUCCUGUAUUGGGUGCAUAUAUAUUUAGGAUUGUUAGCUCUUCUUGUUGCAUCAAGAGCCUUUUACCAUUAUGUAAUGUCUUUCUUUAUCUCUUUUGAUCUUUGUUGCUUUAAAGUCUAUUUUAUCAGAGACGAGAAUUGCAACUCCUACUUUUUUUGCUCUCCAUUUGCUUGGUAAAUCUUCCUCCAUCCCUUUAUUUUGAGCCUUUGUGUAUCCUUGCAUGUGAGAUGCAUUUCCUGGAUACAGUACACCAAUGGGUUUUGGCUUUUUAUCCAGUUUGCCAGUCUGUGUCUUUUGAUUGGGGCAUUUAGUCCAUUUACAUUUAGGGUUAAUAUUGUUAUGUGUGAAUUUGAUACUGCCAUUUUGAUGCUAGCUGGCUGUUUUGCCCAUUAGUUGAUGCAGAUUCUUCAUUUUGUUGAUGCUCUUUAGCAUUUGGUAUGUUUUUGGAGUGGCUGGUACUGGUUGUUCCUUUCUAUGUGUAGUGCCUCUUUCAGGAGCUCUUGUAAAGCAGGCCUGGUGGUGACAAAAUCUCUGAGUACUUCCUUGUUCGCAAAGGAUUUUAUUUUUCCUUCACUUAUGAAGCUCAGUUUGGCUGGAUAUGAAAUUCUGGGUUGAAAGUUCUUUUUUUUAAGGAUGUCGAAUAUCAGCCCCCACUCUCCUCUGGCUUGUAGGGUUUCUGCUGAGAGAUCUGCUGUGAGUCUGAUGGGCUUCCCUUUGUGGGUAACCCGACCUUUCUCUCUGGCUGCCCUUAGCAUUUUCUCCUUCAUUUCAACCCUGGUGAAUCUGAUGAUUAUGUGCCUUGGGAUUGCUCUUCUUGAGGAAUAUCUUUGUAGUGUUCUCUGUAUUUCCUGGACUUGAAUAUUGGCCUGCCUUAUUAGGUUGGGGAAGUUUUCCUGGAUAAUAUCCUGAAGAGUAUUUUUCCGCUUGGAUUCAUUCUCUUCGUCACAUUCAGGUACACCUAUCAAACGUAGAUUAGGUCUUUUCACAUAGUCCCAUAUUUCUUGGAGACUUUGUUCAUUCCUUUUUGUGCUUUUUUUCUCUAAGCUUGCCUUCUCGUUUUAUUUCGUUGAGUUGAUCCUCGACCUCUGAUAUCCUUUCUUCUGCUUGGUCAAUUCAGCUGUUGAAACUUGUGCAUGCUUCGCAAAGUUCUCUUAUUGUGUUUUUCAGCUCCAUCAAUUCACUUAGAUGCCUCUCUAAGUUGUGCAUUCUCAUUAGCAUUUCAUCAAAUCAUUUUUCAAAGUUCUUAGUUUCUUUGCAUUGGGUUAGAACAUGUUCUUUUAACUCACAAAAGUUUCUCAUUACCCACGUUCUCAAGUCUGAUUCUGUAAUUUCAUCACACUCAUUCUCCAUCCAGCUUUGUUCCCUUGCCGGUGAGGAGUUGUGAUCCCUUGUAGGAGGAGAGGUGUUCUAGUUUUGGGUGUUUUCCUCCUUUUUGCGCUGGUCUCUUCCCAUCUUUGUGGAUUUAUCCACCUGUCAUCUUUGUAGUUGCUGAUUUUCAGAUUGGGUCUCUGAGUGGAGGCCCAGAUUGUUGAAGAUGAAGUAUUUCUCUUUCUUAUGUUUCCUUCUAACAGUCUGGCCCCUCUGCUGUAGGACUGCUGAGGUCCACUCCAGGCCCUGCUUGCCUGGGGAUCACCUGCGGCAGCUGCAGAACAGUAAGGGUUGCUACCAGUUUCUUCUUCUGCUAUCUUUGUCCCAGAAUGAUGCCCGCCAAAUAUCAGUCUCAUCAGUCCUUUGUGAGGUGACUCUUUGGAUAUAUGGGGGUCAGAGAGCUGCUUGAGGAGACAGUCAGUCCUUUAUAAGAGUUCAAGUGCUGAGCUGUGAGCUCUGUUGUUCCAAGCUGCUGGGCAGGUGCAUUUAAGUCUGCUGCACAGAACUCAUAAACCCCUGUUUUUUCCCUAGGUGCUCUGUCCCAGGAAGUUUGGGCUUUAUUUAUGAGUUUCCAUUGUGCUGCUGUUUUGUUUUUUUUUUUCAGGGCUGCCCUGCCCAGCAAGGAGGCAGCCUAGUCACUGUCUGCCUGCAGAGGCUUUGCUGAGCUGCUGUGGGCUCCACCCUGCUGCAAUGUGAACUUCCCUGCAGUCCUGUUUAUAUGGGUGUGGUUAGAACUUCCUCGGCAAUGGUGACCCACCUCUGUAAUGGCGGGCUCUCUCUGUAGUGGCAGGUUGCCUCGACAAUGGUGGUGCUGCCUCAGCAAUGGUGGACUACCUCCAUAGGGGGUGGAGUGCCUCAGCAAUGAUGGACGUCCCUGGUUCACCUGUGCUUGCCAUGAAACUCUCAACCCAGGACAUUUCCAAUUGCUAUUUCUGUGUGUCUGUGUGUGUGUGUGUGUGUGUGUGUGUGUGUGACCCACCGAGCCUAAUCACCUGACUCCCUGCCUCAGAGCCUUUUUUUUUUUUUAAGUUGAACGGUUGACUCUCUCCCAGGUGUUCCAGUAUCCUGCUGAAAAGGGGCCAGGAUCUGUGUGAUUUCCUGUACGGCGACCCACUGCGCAAGCUGAAACAAUUGCACUGCCUGGGGAAUCUCCUGGCCUGGCUCCCUGUUUCUGUCCCGUUUAAUCAGAUGAAUGGGUGACUCUGCCUUCCCGGAGCUCCAAUCGCCAGCUUAAAAGGGCAACCAGACCAGUGUAUUUUGUAUGGAGAACUGCCAUGCUGGCCAAAAUAGCUGUGCUGGCAACCCAUGGGGCUCCUCUGCCUGGGAAUCUCCUGGUCUGUGGGCAAUAAAGAUCCAUCUGGAAAUGUGGUGUCCACUCACCCUCUGCGCUUUCACUGGGAGCUGCAAUCCUGAGCUUCUCCUAAACUGCCAUCUUGGAUCUCCUCUCUCUCUGCUUCCCUUUUAAAUCACAUUCUAAAGUUAUUUUUGAGAACGACAAGCAAGAAUAAAAGAGAACUGUGUCAGUCCAUGAUCACCUAAAGAACUGCCCUGCAUCUGUCAUCCGAUAGCAGCAGAAGCAGGAGGAAGAUGAGGAGAGGCAGAGUCUGAUUCCGCUGGAAUGAGUAAGGGAUCUGGUGUGUAAAGAGGAAAGGAAGUGAAAGAAUAAAGACACAAAUAUAAUGCCUGAGUUCUCACUACCUCCUCCCAGGCAAAACCCUUCAUAUUGCAGGAGACAGAAUUCCAGAAGCCAUCGACAUGGAUAGAGGCCAAAAGACACCUUCUACCAAAGGUUGAGGUAUCCACAUCAGUCAGCAGUGGCUUCUGCAACAGCAGCCACAGAAAGUGAGUAAUGUAAAUUAAAGGAUAAAGAUGUAUAGGAAGUCCUCUUUUCUCACCUGGAGAAGGAAGAAAACAGGAAAAAAAUAAGGUCAACUCCACGAUCAAGGUAGAGCUGCUCUAUAAUCUGAGGUGGCCAAUGACUGACACAAACCACCUUGCCUUUCUGUGACUCAGCUCUCCUGUAAAGGAGAAACCACACUGACCCCGGAUCAAACUUCCAUAACAGAAAUGAUGACCUUGGAUUUCAAGAAGGAACAAAUGACCUCUGCUAAUGCAGAUAAAGAGGCCACAAUUUUUUCAGGAUUUCUCAGGGAAAACAGUCUCAUUCUUUGGCCUCUAUUACCCAGGGGCCCAGAUGACCCCGUGUCCCUGAGAUGGACAUGGCUUUCCCAUGGCCUCUUAUGAGAACCUGCCCAGCAAUAAGUUUUUAAUUACCAGAGUCAGUGGUUCCUAUCAUUGAUUGAGCUUACUAAUUGGACAAUGAGGGGGUCAUAUGUGGCUGUCUCCAGCCAUCACACCAAGGUGACACUUGAGCAUGACAUGAGAUGUGCAUUCUCCACAAUCAACUGGAUCUGUCCCACUGCUUCCCAGCAGGAGCAGAAGCAUGCUGUGCCAGUUCCUAAACGUCAUCAUUUCCUUUCAACCAACAGCCCUCCCCUGCCCAGAUUUCCCACCAUCUAAAGCAGCAAUCCUCAAAUGCUAGUGUGCACAAGGUUCUAAGGCACUUGCUGAAAAUGUAGAUUCCUGCACCAACCCCAGAGAACCAGAAGCAAUCCCUAUAGGGUAGGACUUGAGAAUUUGCUUUUAGAAAAGAUCUUAUAUGUUUCUGGAUAACACUUAAAGAUGAUCCUAAAACAGUGCUUCUGGAAAUUUUAAUAUGUAAGCAAAUUGAGAGCAGCUUGUUAAAAUGCAGACCUUUAAAAAUUUAGUACGGGCCUGAAAUUCUGCACUCAGAAGUUCUCACAGAAACUGAUGCUGCUAGUCCUUUUGGCUACACUUUGAGUCACCAGCACCCAAAGGACUCCCGGCCUAUAUCUGGGCCUAAGAGAGCAACACUGUCACAGAUAAACACAGUUUCAACCUUCCCUGAUUCUCUGUGGAGUAGAAUCUCCCUCCUACCUCCAGUCAGACAGGUCCCCAUGGAUAAGGGGGUUCUGUUCUGCCUUGUGUGUCCUCAGUUCCCCUCUACUGAACUCUGUUCUGAUCUCAAGCUUCCACUAGCUCUGCUAUUAGAAGUGCUGAACACUGAUUUUCUUUUGAGUAUAAAGUUGUUAAAAGAAAAGAGAAACAUAUCUGAGGCUGUAGAGUUUCCAUUUAUAGACAUCAAGAAAUGAGUAUGAACUGUUAGGCAUUCCUCAGGAGGUAGACUGUUAUUUAAAGAUCCUCCCAAAUUUGAGACCUCAAAUUCUUUCAGGUGAUAUUCAUAUUACUUUUUUUUUUUUAACUUAGAAAGUGCGUUGUCGUUAAGUUUUCUCCUGAAAUAACUGCAAAGAUGAAGCGUGGCCUCUUUCGAUAGUCAUAAUUUUUGUUUUAGGGUUAAAAAGACUCCCCUAAAGACAGAAAAUUGUACCUAAUGAUACAGCCUAGAGCUCAUGCUGUUCCUUUAGUCGAUGGUACCUUCUGCCUCUUGCUCAAAUGAACUCUGGUCACUGAUGCACCUCCAGUUCUCACAGCUUAGUAAAUUAUGGACUAGUGAUCACAUGUCUAUGUCCCUACUUCCCCAACCAAAUUCUCUGAGCUAUGCCAGGGUGAGGAUCUGACCCUUUUCAUCUUGGAAUUCCCAACGAGUCUAUGGUGGAGUGCAGAGAUGACCACUAAAUGAAAGAAUCACUUGUACUGGUUGAAACAAUACCAAUAAACACCUUAGGCUCUGUGGUGAACACAGAUCAGUAAAUAAAUGUUGGGCAAUCUUCCA